AAAAAUCCGCCCCGCCUCCCGCCCCGAAUCCGUGACGGGUUAAAAAAUACAUCCCAUAAUCCGCCCCGCCUCAUAACCCGCCUCACGCCGGCGCCCCGAAUCUGCCCCGCCAACUAAUAUUUUUUAUAAAAUUAUAAUAUUAUUAAUAUUUUGUAAAAUAUAAAUUAAUAAUUUUUAAUAAUAUUAUAUAUAUAAUUUAACAAUAUUAAUGGUAAAAAUUAAAAAUAUCAAUCACAAUUCAAAACAAAAUUCAAAUAUUUCAAAUACAUUAGAAAUGAGAAUAAUAACUUAUUUGUAUUUUAAACUUUUUUUUAUAAAUAUAUUAUUUUUUGGGAAUAUUUUUUAAAAAUACAAAUGAUAUUCGGGGCGGAUUCGGGGCGGAUUCGGGGCGGAUCAUGGCGGGGCGGAUUCGGGGCGGAUUCGGGGCGGGUAAAAAUUUUUCUCGUUUCCUGCCCCGAAUCCGUCUCGGAUCGUAAAACUUACCCCGUUUCCUGCCCCGAAUCGGUUUAUUUUCUCCCAUUUACUGCUCCCGUCGG
Molecule: long non-coding RNA, 536 nt
Filed under: Ananas comosus (pineapple)
Lineage: Eukaryota; Viridiplantae; Streptophyta; Magnoliopsida; Poales; Bromeliaceae
Description: long non-coding RNA (ACOM_LNC015154)
Source: RNAcentral